UACAGAGGUCCCAAGCGUUGUUCGGAUUCAUUGGGCGUAAAGGGUGCGUAGGUGGCGUCGUAAGUCGGGUGUGAAAUCUCGGGGCUUAACUCCGAAACUGCAUUCGAUACUGCGGUGCUUGAGGACUGGAGAGGAGACUGGAAUUUACGGUGUAGCAGUGAAAUGCGUAGAGAUCGUAAGGAAGACCAGUGGCGAAGGCGGGUCUCUGGACAGUUCCUGACACUGAGGCACGAAGGCCAGGGGAGCAAACGGG
RNAcentral lists this ribosomal RNA (253 nucleotides) under uncultured bacterium. RNAcentral's name for it is "partial 16S ribosomal RNA". It matches the Rfam family "Bacterial small subunit ribosomal RNA", at positions 524 to 776 of the family's 1533-position model. The record is from RNAcentral. RNAcentral also lists the same sequence under 1 other name.